Molecule: RNA transcript, 3409 nt
Organism: Triticum aestivum (bread wheat)
Lineage: Eukaryota; Viridiplantae; Streptophyta; Magnoliopsida; Poales; Poaceae
Gene name: eukaryotic translation initiation factor 3 subunit B-like
Exons: 12
Source: RefSeq, a predicted model, not a curated record
AUAGCAGUGCCCCGAACCCCCCGACCGAAUCCAUCGCCCCCGAAUCCUAAACCCUAGAACACACACAGCACACGAACGUUGCAAAGGCUCUCUCUUCCCGUCCUCUCUCAAAACUGCCUACAGAAGAGGGCAGGGCGAGAUCCAGGAGUUCCUCUGUCCCCGUCGGCAAGACCGGUGGUCUCCUUCACCUCCGGUGGCCAUUAUGGCUGCCGGAGGGGUGGGAGAUCCCGGAUCUGAUGCCUGGCGGUGUAUAUAGUCCUAGAUUUUCUAGGUUUGGUGUCCUUUGCACCGGCGUCAUGGCGGAGGAGGCGUCGGUGUGCGGAAUAAAGUGGCCAUGUCUCCUUCUUCGCUCGCCCGGCGUCGUUCUUGGCACUAGCGAGGAGCUGGGGUCCUUUUGGUCUCGCGGAUCUGAGUGUUUACGAUCCUGCGAGUUGGUCGUCGUCGUCAUCGGUCACCGCUGGGCUCUUUGGUGUGGCGAGACGGCGAGGGGGGUCGAGGAUUCUGACCCAUGGCGUUCGCGGCUUUGGCCCUGUGGAGCGGUGGUUGGGGCUUGUCCGCUUCUUCGGCUCCAUGGGAAGAUGCUUCUGGCGCUUCUUUUGUUGUGGAUGCGGGAGGUGGCUACGACAAGGAUGAAGGACUGGAGGUUGUUCAUCGGCGAUUGGUCUUUGAACCUGCUUCAGCGAAGCUGGCCGAUGCGGAUCCGGUGCGGCAUGGGGCGUUGCUCCGGCCGCCUGGGCUUUUCAGCUCUGCUCAAGAUCUCGCCUCUCGCGGCGGGCUACGAUUGUGCGGCUCACAAAGCUUACAAGCGAUGGUGCUUCUCCGGAUCUAAAGGGGUUGCUCGCUUUUCUUCUCUCUCCGGCGGCGACGACGGCGAGAUGGGGGUAGCAGCGGCUGUGUGGUUGAGUUGGAUUUGGUGUUCUUCCGUAUCCUGCGUGGAUGUACUCGUAUCUACUCGGCUCCGCCACCUCUCGCCUCCGCUCCGCCGCUCGCUCGCCGUUGCCUGCGCUCCGCCGCUCGCUCGCCGUCGCCUGCGCUCCGCCGCUCCCUCGCCCUCGCCCUCGCCCUCGCCUGCGCUCCGCCGCUCACCUGCGGGUACGGUGCCCCCAAACUCCGUGGAAGAUGGCGCUAGCAAUCUUGAUGGAAGUCAUUGAUGCGCGCGCGCGGGAGCUGGGGAUCGACCUCGACUCCGUCGACGUCGACUCCAUCACCCUCCCGCCCGGCGAGGACUUCGACAUCCUCAGCGACGACGAGGAUUUACUUCAGAAUGAAGACAUUCCAGAGCUCGAGAUAGGUUUUGCAAACAUUAUUGUGGUGGACAAUCUGCCGGUUGUUCCCCGAGAGAAGUACGAGAAGCUGGAGAAUGUUUUGCGAAAGAUAUAUGGUCAGCUUGGCGUGAAAGGAAGGUGGGCUUUGGAUGCCUACGGACCCAGAGACCAAGAAGACCCAGGGCUACUGCUUCAUUGAGUUCAAUACUCCGCAGGAAGCUGAGUUUGCUAUGGAAAAAACACGUGGCUACAAACUGGACAAAUCUCACAUAUUUGCUGUUAAUAUGUUUGAUGACUUUGAGAAGUACAUGAAAGUUCCUGAUGAGUGGGCGCCUGCUGAAAUCAAGUCAUACACUCCUGGAGAAAAUCUUCUGAAGUUGCUGACUGAUGAUAAGGCCAGAGAUCAGUUCGUGAUACGUGCUGGUACGUUCACGGAAGUGUACUGGAAUGACGCUAGACGGGCAAUGCCUGAGCUUGUGUACCAGAAGCAGUACUGGACGGAUAGCUAUAUUCAAUGGUCCCCUCUUGGAACACACUUGGCGACCGUGCAUAGGCAGGGCGCGCAGGUGUGGGGUGGUGAUGACAAAUUUGUUCGUCUAAUGCGCUUUGCUCAUCCACAGUUGAAACUCAUCGAUUUCUCUCCCGGUGAGAAAUAUUUGAUCACUUACAGCAGCCAUGAGCCCAGCAACCCCAGAGAUACACAUAGGGUUGUACUAAAUAUCUUUGAUGUACGAACUGGAAAAGUAAUGUGGGAGUUCAAGGGAAGUGCUGAUGAUUUCACUACUGGUGGAAAUAUGGGUGUCUCUGGUGUUUCAUGGCCUAUCUUCAGGUGGGGUGGUGGAAGAGAUGAUAAGUAUUUUGCUAGGCUUGGAAAGAAUGUUAUAUCUGUCUAUGAUACCGAGACGUUCGCUCUUAUUGAUAAGAAGUCCUUGAAGGUAGAAAAUGUGGUUGACUUCAGUUGGUCUCCCACUGAUCCUAUCAUAUCACUCUUUGUGCCUGAAUUGGGUGGUGGAAAUCAGCCUGCCAGGGUCAGUCUUGUGCCAAUUCCGGGUAAAGAGGAGAUUCGGCAGAAAAACCUUUUCAGUGUUAGCGACUGCAAAAUGUACUGGCAAAACAAUGGAGAAUAUCUGGCUCUCCAGGUAGAUAGGUACACAAAAACAAAGAAGAGCAUUUACACUGGGUUCGAGCUGUUCAGAAUCAAGGAAUGAGACAUCCCAAUUGAGGUCUUUGAAUUGGACAACAAGAAUGACAAGAUAAUUGCCUUUGCAUGGGAGCCUAAAGGUCGCCGCUUUGCUGUUAUUCAUGGUGAUGGGCCUAAGCCUGAUAUAAGUUUCUACAUCAUGAAAGCAGUCAACAAUAAUGUUAGUCGUGUGUCCAAGCUCACCACACUCAAGGGCAAGCAGUCCAAUGCAUUGUUCUGGUCUCCUGCUGGCCGUUUCAUUGUUCUGGCAGGGCUGAUGGGUUUCAAUGGCCAGCUGGAGUUCUUCAACGUUGAUGAUCUUGAGCCCAUGGCGACAGGAGAACAUUUUAUGGCGACUGACAUCAUGUGGGAUCCUACUGGAAGAUAUCUCGCAACUGCAGUUACCUCGGUUCAUGAGAUGGAAAAUGGUUUCCAAAUCUGGUCCUUCAAUGGCAAGCAAAUUUACAACGUCUCAAAGGAUCACUUCUAUCAGUUCCAAUGGCGCCCAAGGCCACCGUCGCUACUUACUCCCGAGAAGGAGGAGGACAUCUCAAAGAACCUCAAGCGGUACAGCAAGAAGUACGAACACGAGGAUCAGGACGUGCACCACCUUUUGGACGAGGAGGAGCGCAAGAGACGGAUGCGGCUUCAAGAGGUGUGGGAAGCAUGGGUCGCCAAGUGGAAGCAGCUGCACGAGGAGGAGCGAGCAUUCAGGAUGCAGCUCAGAGGCGCGGAGGACAGCGACAAGGAAGAAGAGGCUGAAUACAAGGAGAUUGAGGCGGAGGAGCUGGUUGAUGUCACAGAAAAAACCGUUGCCUUUGACCUGGAUCAGGAGUGAAAGCUGCUGAGUGUUCGUUUCCUGCCUGUCGUGUGAAUUGCUGUCGUUUUGCCUUAGACCAAGCUCGUAGUUUGUUAAUCUUUCUAGUAGUGCACUUAUAAUAAAUUCAUCGAUUUUUGUGGGCUA